This 371-nucleotide ribosomal RNA is filed under the name uncultured bacterium. Its description in RNAcentral is "bacterial SSU rRNA". It matches the Rfam family "Bacterial small subunit ribosomal RNA", at positions 527 to 896 of the family's 1533-position model. The record is from RNAcentral.
AGAGGGUGCAAGCGUUGUUCGGAAUUAUUGGGCGUAAAGCGCGUGUAGGCGGCUUUGCAAGUCGGGUGUGAAAGCCCUCGGCUCAACCGAGGAAGUGCGCCCGAAACUGCAGAGCUUGAGUACCGGAGAGGAUGGCGGAAUUCCCCAAGUAGAGGUGAAAUUCGUAGAUAUGGGGAGGAACACCGGUGGCGAAGGCGGCCAUCUGGACGGAUACUGACGCUGAGACGCGAAAGCGUGGGGAGCAAACAGGAUUAGAUACCCUGGUAGUCCACGCCGUAAACGAUGAGAACUAGGUGUCGUGGGUGUUGACCCCCGCGGUGCCGUAGCCAACGCAUUAAGUUCUCCGCCUGGGAAGUACGGCCGCAAGGCUA